Daphnia carinata is the source of this 1260-nucleotide long non-coding RNA. RefSeq lists it as uncharacterized. The record is from RefSeq and is a predicted model, not a curated record. The transcript has 5 exons. Lineage: Eukaryota; Metazoa; Arthropoda; Branchiopoda; Diplostraca; Daphniidae.
CUGAGCUGCGUCCAGCAGUGUACAGAUCGUGUUCAUACGAGCAGUGAUUGCAAGCACGAACCUAUCCAACAGUGUUUCCGAGCUUUUGAAAUUCUCUUCAAACUGGUUAUCCAAUCACGGCGGCUCUACGCCAGGGCCAUCUUGGAAAACCACGAAGGAGACGAUUUCCGCCAAUUUCUCCAGUCCCUCUUUGCCACUUUCAACAGUCGCUUCGCUCUACAACGAUGCGCUUGUCAACACCCAAGUCGUCUUGCUGCGCAAUAUUUACACGGUGGUGGAACAGCUGAGCCGAAUUCUGAGUCAAGCGGAGGCAGCCAAAUUAUUAUCUUCAUGAUCGACAGCCUGCCGAAAGAACCGCAUCCGUUGAUAGCCACGGCCAGAAUGGAGCUCGUACUCACCACCGUCAGAGGGCCGCUGUUCACGGAAUCAUCGGCCGCUCGUGCCAUUUUGCUGCCCACUGUCUGCCGCCAGCUGCGGCUUCAUUUAUCGCAGCCGUUGGUCACGUCGUUUUUGCACGGAAACGCUGGGCCACAUGAUGAAUUUCUAUCGCAACAUGAGCAUGGCCGACGACACGACAGAGGACAACGUCUGGUACCGCGAUGUGGAAACGAUCGCGUUGGCCACGCUGGGCGUUCUCAUCCGCCGUGCAAUUAGCUCAGAAAACGGAUUCCAACGUGGGUCCACUGGUCGCGUGCUUGCUCAGCGUGUUAGAACUGCUUGAUCAGGGACAUUACGAUCGGCUGUGGUCUGAAUUAUCGGAGCGCAAGCCACUCAAGGAUUUUCUGUUGCAACUGUUCGCCGUGCUGCGGACGCUGGCCCGUCGGGGAGAGCACGUCUUCCCCACUGGAAUGGUCGACCAUGCAUGGCGUUGUCAACCGGGUCAUGCUUUCAGCCUUGGACCAUAUGACGCAACCGCUUGUAGCCUACUUUCUCGACUCUGGAUGGUUUGAUAGUCAGUUGUGGAGCAAUUAUUUCGACCUGGCCGUCUCGUUCUUGACGCAGCCCAACUUGCAGCUGGAGAAACGCACAGCUGACAACGGUUGAAAAUGGUCCGAGCUGGGCGGUGAUAUGCGAGUUCAAAUGGGUUUCCAAAUCCUUACCAUGUGGAAUGCCAUCGGUGAUUACAAGAUCCAUUUUAUACCGUCGAUGGUGGGUCCCUUUCACAAGUUACCCUGGUACCCGAACCGACUUUACGUCGGGCUACGUUGCCCAUUUUCUUCGACAUGCUCAAACUGCGAGCAUCGACACCGCGGCAAUUUC